Non-coding RNA from Podarcis lilfordi (Lilford's wall lizard), 73 nucleotides. The record is from the annotation of a GenBank genome assembly. NCBI's taxonomy places the organism in Eukaryota, Metazoa, Chordata, Lepidosauria, Squamata, Lacertidae.
GGAGUGCCAUAGAUCAGUGGUAGAACAUCUGCUUUGCAUGCAGAAGGUCUAGGUUCAGACCCUGGUGUCUCCA